Molecule: ribosomal RNA, 305 nt
Filed under: uncultured bacterium
Lineage: Bacteria
Description: partial 16S ribosomal RNA
Rfam family: Bacterial small subunit ribosomal RNA
Source: RNAcentral
ACAGCAGUCGCCGCGGGAACACGGAGGGGGCUAGCGUUGUUCGGAAUUACUGGGCGUAAAGCACACGUAGGCGGCUUGGUAAGUUAGAGGUGAAAGCCUGGAGCUCAACUCCAGAAUUGCCUUUAAGACUGCCGAGCUAGCAGGUGAGAGAGGUAAGUGGAAUUCCGAGUGUAGAGGUGAAAUUCGUAGAUAUUCGGAAGAACACCAGUGGCGAAGGCGGCUUACUGGCUCAUACUGGACGCUGAGGUGCGAAAGCGUGGGGAGCAAACAGGAUUAGAUACCCGCGUAGUCCCUGUCUCUUAUAC